GGUGCCAUGGCUUAGUUGGUUAAAGCGCCUGUCUAGAAAACAGGAGAUCCUGAGUUCGAAUCUCAGUGGUGCCU
Molecule: transfer RNA, 74 nt
Filed under: Saccoglossus kowalevskii
Lineage: Eukaryota; Metazoa; Hemichordata; Enteropneusta; Harrimaniidae
Description: tRNA-Ser
Rfam family: tRNA
About the family: Transfer RNA (tRNA) molecules are approximately 80 nucleotides in length. Their secondary structure includes four short double-helical elements and three loops (D, anti-codon, and T loops).
Source: RNAcentral